RNAcentral lists this transfer RNA (63 nucleotides) under Unio mancus. RNAcentral describes it as "tRNA-Gly". RNAcentral also lists the same sequence under 1 other name. The record is from RNAcentral. Lineage: Eukaryota; Metazoa; Mollusca; Bivalvia; Unionida; Unionidae.
AUGCCGAUAGUAUAAUAAGUACAAUUGCCUUCCAAGCAGAAAGACCUAAACAUGGUCGGCAUA